Molecule: ribosomal RNA, 465 nt
Filed under: Vreelandella stevensii
Lineage: Bacteria; Pseudomonadati; Pseudomonadota; Gammaproteobacteria; Oceanospirillales; Halomonadaceae
Description: partial 16S ribosomal RNA
Rfam family: Bacterial small subunit ribosomal RNA
Source: RNAcentral
CCUACGGGAGGCAGCAGUGGGGAAUAUUGGACAAUGGGGGCAACCCUGAUCCAGCCAUGCCGCGUGUGUGAAGAAGGCCCUCGGGUUGUAAAGCACUUUCAGUGAGGAAGAACGCCUGGUGGUUAAUACCCAUCAGGAAAGACAUCACUCACAGAAGAAGCACCGGCUAACUCCGUGCCAGCAGCCGCGGUAAUACGGAGGGUGCGAGCGUUAAUCGGAAUUACUGGGCGUAAAGCGCGCGUAGGUGGCUUGAUAAGCCGGUUGUGAAAGCCCCGGGCUCAACCUGGGAACGGCAUCCGGAACUGUCAAGCUAGAGUGCAGGAGAGGAAGGUAGAAUUCCCGGUGUAGCGGUGAAAUGCGUAGAGAUCGGGAGGAAUACCAGUGGCGGAGGCGGCCUUCUGGACUGACACUGACACUGAGGUGCGAAAGCGUGGGUAGCAAACAGGAUUAGAUACCCCAGUAGUC